This 422-nucleotide ribosomal RNA is filed under the name uncultured archaeon. RNAcentral describes it as "partial 16S ribosomal RNA". It matches the Rfam family "Archaeal small subunit ribosomal RNA", at positions 323 to 746 of the family's 1478-position model. The record is from RNAcentral.
CUACGGGACGCUGCAGGCGAGAAAACUUUGCAAUGUGCGAAAGCACGACAAGGUUAAUCCGAGUGGUUUGUGCUAAACGAACCUUUUGACAGUCCUAGAAACACUGUUGAAUAAGGGGUGGGCAAGUUCUGGUGUCAGCCGCCGCGGUAAAACCAGCACCUCAAGUGGUCAGGAUGAUUAUUGGGCCUAAAGCAUCCGUAGCCGGCUCUGUAAGUUUUCGGUUAAAUCUGUACGCUCAACGUACAGGCUGCCGGGAAUACUGCAGAGCUAGGGAGUGGGAGAGGUAGACGGUACUCGGUAGGAAGGGGUAAAAUCCUUUGAUCUAUUGAUGACCACCUGUGGCGAAGGCGGUCUGCCAGAACACGUCCGACGGUGAGGGAUGAAAGCUGGGGGAGCAAACCGGAUUAGAUACCCGCGUAGUC